RNAcentral lists this unclassified non-coding RNA (226 nucleotides) under Hevea brasiliensis (rubber tree). Lineage: Eukaryota; Viridiplantae; Streptophyta; Magnoliopsida; Malpighiales; Euphorbiaceae. The record is from RNAcentral.
AUUCCUCGUGAAAUUUUUACCUCUCUUCAGAAAGCUUACAACAAUGGUAAUAAUGGGGUCUUUCCCUUGUUUACUUCCUGUCUAAAAAAGCAGAUUACAAUCCUCUUCUAAAUAACUAGUCAAUGAUAUAAAAAGUCUCUCUGGCUCUUGUCGGAGAUAUCAUAUGAAACAAUGUCUUGCUAAUUAGCCACUACAACAAGACCUAGAACAGAGGCGCAUCCUUUAG